This 23-nucleotide non-coding RNA is filed under the name Cricetulus griseus (Chinese hamster). Lineage: Eukaryota; Metazoa; Chordata; Mammalia; Rodentia; Cricetidae. The record is from RNAcentral.
AAGACACACUGGAGCUGCAGAAA